This 700-nucleotide ribosomal RNA is filed under the name Tomentella sp. K80C37T323. Its description in RNAcentral is "eukaryotic LSU rRNA". The stretch from base 269 to 423 matches the Rfam family "5.8S ribosomal RNA". Lineage: Eukaryota; Fungi; Basidiomycota; Agaricomycetes; Thelephorales; Thelephoraceae. The record is from RNAcentral.
CUUGGUCAUUUAGAGGAAGUAAAAGUCGUAACAAGGUUUCCGUAGGUGAACCUGCGGAAGGAUCAUUACUGAACUGUCGACACGAGUUGUUGCUGGUCCUCGAAAGGGGUCAUGUGCACGCUCUGUUUACACAUCCACUCACACCCCUGUGCACCCUUGUAGUUCUAUGGCCUGGGGACUCUGUCCUCUCGCCGUGGUCCUACGUCUUUACACACAGACCGUAACAAAGUAUCAUGGAAUGUAUGUCGCGUCUAACGCAAUACAAUACAACUUUCAGCAACGGAUCUCUUGGCUCUCGCAUCGAUGAAGAACGCAGCGAAAUGCGAUAAGUAAUGUGAAUUGCAGAAUUCAGUGAAUCAUCGAAUCUUUGAACGCACCUUGCGCCCUUUGGCUAUUCCGAAGGGUAUGCCUGUUUGAGUAUCAUGAACACCUCCACUCUCAUGGUCCGCCAUGAUGAGCUUGGACUUUGGGGGUCUUGCUGGCAUAACCACCGGCUCCUCUCAAAGAAUCAGCUUCCCAGUGUUUGGUGGCGUCACAGGUGUGAUAACUAUCUACGCUUGUGGUCCUCCAUCAGUUACCUUCAGUAAUGGAGGUUCGCUGGAGCUCACAGACGUCUCUCCUCAGGGAGGACAGCUUUUAUUGUUUGAUCUCAAUCAGGUAGGACUACCCGCUGAACUUAAGCAUAUCAAUAAGCGGAGGA